RNAcentral lists this ribosomal RNA (508 nucleotides) under Salmonella enterica. RNAcentral's name for it is "partial 23S ribosomal RNA". It matches the Rfam family "Bacterial large subunit ribosomal RNA", at positions 86 to 631 of the family's 2925-position model. Lineage: Bacteria; Pseudomonadati; Pseudomonadota; Gammaproteobacteria; Enterobacterales; Enterobacteriaceae. The record is from RNAcentral.
GUGAUAUGAACCGUUAUAACCGGCGAUACCCGAAUGGGGAAACCCAGUGUGAUUCGUCACACUAUCAUUAACUGAAUCCAUAGGUUAAUGAGGCGAACCGGGGGAACUGAAACAUCUAAGUACCCCGAGGAAAAGAAAUCAACCGAGAUUCCCCCAGUAGCGGCGAGCGAACGGGGAGGAGCCCAGAGCCUGAAUCAGCAUGUGUGUUAGUGGAAGCGUCUGGAAAGGCGCGCGAUACAGGGUGACAGCCCCGUACACAAAAGCGCAUGUGCUGUGAGCUCGAUGAGUAGGGCGGGACACGUGGUAUCCUGUCUGAAUAUGGGGGGACCAUCCUCCAAGGCUAAAUACUCCUGACUGACCGAUAGUGAACCAGUACCGUGAGGGAAAGGCGAAAAGAACCCCGGCGAGGGGAGUGAAAAAGAACCUGAAACCGUGUACGUACAAGCAGUGGGAGCACAGGUUUACCUGUGUGACUGCGUACCUUUUGUAUAAUGGGUCAGCGACUUAU